RNAcentral lists this ribosomal RNA (1373 nucleotides) under uncultured bacterium. RNAcentral describes it as "bacterial SSU rRNA". It matches the Rfam family "Bacterial small subunit ribosomal RNA", at positions 14 to 1381 of the family's 1533-position model. The record is from RNAcentral.
UGAUUCCUGGCUCAGGAUGAACGCUAGCUACAGGCUUAACACAUGCAAGUCGAGGGGCAGCAUGGUCUUAGCUUGCUAAGGCCGAUGGCGACCGGCGCACGGGUGAGUAACACGUAUCCAACCUGCCGUCUACUCUUGGACAGCCUUCUGAAAGGAAGAUUAAUACAAGAUGGCAUCAUGAGUCCGCAUGUUCACAUGAUUAAAGGUAUUCCGGUAGACGAUGGGGAUGCGUUCCAUUAGAUAGUAGGCGGGGUAACGGCCCACCUAGUCUUCGAUGGAUAGGGGUUCUGAGAGGAAGGUCCCCCACAUUGGAACUGAGACACGGUCCAAACUCCUACGGGAGGCAGCAGUGAGGAAUAUUGGUCAAUGGGCGAGAGCCUGAACCAGCCAAGUAGCGUGAAGGAUGACUGCCCUAUGGGUUGUAAACUUCUUUUAUAAAGGAAUAAAGUCGGGUAUGGAUACCCGUUUGCAUGUACUUUAUGAAUAAGGAUCGGCUAACUCCGUGCCAGCAGCCGCGGUAAUACGGAGGAUCCGAGCGUUAUCCGGAUUUAUUGGGUUUAAAGGGAGCGUAGAUGGAUGUUUAAGUCAGUUGUGAAAGUUUGCGGCUCAACCGUAAAAUUGCAGUUGAUACUGGAUAUCUUGAGUGCAGUUGAGGCAGGCGGAAUUCGUGGUGUAGCGGUGAAAUGCUUAGAUAUCACGAAGAACUCCGAUUGCGAAGGCAGCCUGCUAAGCUGCAACUGACAUUGAGGCUCGAAAGUGUGGGUAUCAAACAGGAUUAGAUACCCUGGUAGUCCACACGGUAAACGAUGAAUACUCGCUGUUUGCGAUAUACAGCAAGCGGCCAAGCGAAAGCGUUAAGUAUUCCACCUGGGGAGUACGCCGGCAACGGUGAAACUCAAAGGAAUUGACGGGGGCCCGCACAAGCGGAGGAACAUGUGGUUUAAUUCGAUGAUACGCGAGGAACCUUACCCGGGCUUAAAUUGCAGAUGAAUUACGGUGAAAGCCGUAAGCCGCAAGGCAUCUGUGAAGGUGCUGCAUGGUUGUCGUCAGCUCGUGCCGUGAGGUGUCGGCUUAAGUGCCAUAACGAGCGCAACCCUUGUUGUCAGUUACUAACAGGUUCCGCUGAGGACUCUGACAAGACUGCCAUCGUAAGAUGUGAGGAAGGUGGGGAUGACGUCAAAUCAGCACGGCCCUUACGUCCGGGGCUACACACGUGUUACAAUGGGGGGUACAGAGGGCCGCUACCACGCGAGUGGAUGCCAAUCCCCAAAACCUCUCUCAGUUCGGACUGGAGUCUGCAACCCGACUCCACGAAGCUGGAUUCGCUAGUAAUCGCGCAUCAGCCACGGCGCGGUGAAUACGUUCCCGGGCCU